Long non-coding RNA from Zonotrichia leucophrys gambelii, 1955 nucleotides. RefSeq lists it as uncharacterized. The record is from RefSeq and is a predicted model, not a curated record. The transcript has 4 exons. Lineage: Eukaryota; Metazoa; Chordata; Aves; Passeriformes; Passerellidae.
GAUCCUGUGGGGUUUGUGCCAAUUGCUGUAAGUUAUGGAAAUGUUUCAUCUUCUGAUAUUUGAUGCCUGGAUGCUGAAAGCAUGAGAUAAUGGAUUUUGUGUAGACUGGAAGCACAAAAUUGCAUUGACAGUUUCUGGGGUGCUCUUCUCCUCUGGCACUGCUGGCUGGGAGCACAGGGAUUUCACAAGCAAGUCUUCAUUUCCACGAGGGAAAUUUCCACCUGUCAAGCAACUGAGAAGGAGACAUCUACAGAGCCAGUCCUGCUCCCUCACCUGGAAACCUGCAGCAGCCUUGCUUAUCCCUGAGAGGUACCAAGGUCUUAAUAAGGAUGGAGGGAAGGAAAACUUCUUUCCCACUGCAGAUCUUCCUCAUGGAGUCUCCUGGAAUGAAUUUCCAUAGUCUUUUGGAGGUCAGAGUGGCAGCUGCUUUUCCAGCUAAGGCACUUGAUCCUGCAGUGCAGGUGGCAGUGAUCUGUGCUGGGAGUUCAUAGCACGCUGCAGGUGAUGGUGGGAGAUGGGAGUACAGCAAAAGUGUUGUGCUAUUUCAAGAAAAGAGGGCACAGAAAAAAUGCAUCUUUCUCCACUGCAAAAAAAAAUGAAAUCUCAUCACCUCUGCCUCCAACAGUGUGAGUGCUGCUAUGCAUGUGACAGUAAGGGUAACAUUUUGUCACCAGUGCUGCUUUCCUCAACCUCCUCAAAAAACAUCCAAACUUUCUCUAGAGAGGUUUGUAGCACACAUCUUCUAAAAUUUUGGAAAUAUUGCCACAAUAGAGACAAACCUGGUCUUCUCUUAAGUCCCUCAAGAGAACAUUAAAAUGUUAGAUGUCCAACUAAUGUUAGUGGGUGGGACUGGUCCUUCUGUCCCACAGAGUCUGGCAGGGACAGAAAGACCAGUCCCACUCACUUGUUCUUCCUGAAGUGAUGCAUGUGCUGCCUGCCUCAGCUGCUGUCAGCAGGGACAAGCCAAACAGGUUUCUGAGGAAAAACAGAAUGCUGGAUUUUCCAAAAGAAACUACUUUCCAAAGGAACUACUGUGGGAAACUGGGUUUGAGGUGUCCACGGAAGAUAAGUCAGAGAAGGAAGCCAAAGAGUGGGAGAAGCACCAGAAGAAAGGACUUAUUGAGUGUGGCCUUGCAGGAAUGAGCUCCAGGUUUUGUAAGAUUCCAAGGAGAGGGAAGAGACAGAGCAAAUGAUGCUUGGAAGGGAAUACUGAACUCAAUUUUAAAAGGAAGGCUGUUAGUUUAUACAGUUAGCAGCCCUAGCAAAGUCCUUUGGACAAUUAUUUUUUAUGUAGUUGUAUGCAUAUAUGUAUGGAAGGGGCCAUUUUCCUCUUCAUAAUGUGCAUUCUCAUCACAUCCCAUUCUUUAUAGGCAUCUUAGCAGCAUCCACACCCUGAAGACAUCUGCUGAAAGUGAUGUGGGUACCCAAAUCAGUUUGGGCUAGCCUGGCAUUUCUCCCAGUGUUCUGAAUCAAAGAUGAAAUGUGUUGCUAUCGUUUGCAAGAUGUUCACAAAGCAACUCUGUACAAAAGGAGACUGCACAGAGUGCCACCAUUUGAAAUCUUUUUACAGUGUUUUUCCAUUAAAACAACAAACCUUGGCAGCUACCAUCUACUCUUUUCUGAUUUGCAGCCAGCCAAUUACAUCACUUAGAAUGCACUCAAUUAACAAGGAUGCAAGGUCAAGGCACUGCCUUUGUGUAGUUCUGGUUGUGCCUCAGGAAAAACUUACUUUUGUUUUCCCUUCUGUGUGUUUAUUUCCUCCACUGUUUUUGUUAAUCCCUCCUACAUGCAAUAGCUCCCUUGCAAACAUUAUUUCAGCAGCGACCUCAGAGUGUUCUGAGUGCCUUCUAAAAGCCAGAUAUUAAAAGAAUUCAGUUGCCUCAAUCUCUUGGUGUGACCUCCAGUCACCAGAAUAGCUCUGAUGGUUUGAGUGGGAAGAUCCACAAGAGUGAAAA